GGAGCCCGCGAAACUCGUCCCGAGCCAACUCUGGGCUCUGGGCUCCGUUGGUGAGUGUUCUAGGAGGGGAGACUGGCGGCCCCCGCUGGGGAAAUUGAGCCCGGCGCCGGCCCGGACGCUCCAAGAGGGAAAAGGGGGGAUCCCAGACCUCGGGUUUCCAAGGUCCCCCCUUGGGAUUCGCUCGCACCUCGGUGUCUCGACUCCUGGCGGCAGACCUCGCGGCGCUUGCUCAAGAGCCGGUACCAAAAGCACAUCGCGAAAGUUGUGAAGGGCCGGGGGUCGCCUGACGCGUGUCUUGACCUUCGCCCUUUUUCCUCUUACUCCUUUGAGAUUGAGGACCACGGCACGUUUAGCUCUGGGCGAAAGGUUCUGGCUAAAAAAUGAGCCAAGAGCCUCAGUUUCCCCUUUGUAACCUGAACAUCGGGAGCGGGUCCCUUUCCCUCUAGCUUUGGCUGAGGUCCUCUGGCCCGGGACUGCGAGAGUCUUCCUGGGACGGGGAGGAUGGGUCAGCGCAACCCAGGAAAGUCAAGUGGAAGUGGGGGAGUGAGCGCCGGAGGCCCCUGAAGAAAUACAGGACCAACCCACUCUUGAACUGACGGUGCCCACGCGCCAGAUUUGGCCCGAUCUUGGCACGCCAGGCAACUCUUUCCACCUGGGGGACAGGGGACCUUCUAAGUCUCUCGGUCUCCUAGCUCUGGACAGAAUGGAAAUGUCAGGCAUCUGAGCGCUCUGUUUGCUGCCCAGAUCCCUUGUAGACACACAUCACCCAAGCUUUCCUAACUAUGCUGUUCUGAGAUGGAUCCGCACGAGUGGGAAUAUCGCAUAGGAAUUCCUGCAGAGAGAAAUUUCAGCCCCAAAGCUGUCCUGAUUGAGUGAAACACACUACCACCACCAUCAUCACCACCUUCCCCCCGCGCCCUGCCACCAACCAUCAAAGUUUUCCCGCAGUUUCUCCGAGUUUGAGACAGUUUCUGAGCUUUUGGCGCCCCCUCUGGACACAGCUGGAAAUUGCAGCCCAUUUUAAGUCGACUGUUGUGUAGUUUACAAAAAGAUAAAAGAAUACAAAAAAAAAAAAAAUACUUGCACCAAAAGGGCAUAAAAUGUAUAAAGCACCACCGUUUGUGAUUCAAAGUGUUGC
This 1138-nucleotide long non-coding RNA is filed under the name Marmota monax (woodchuck). The record is from RNAcentral. Lineage: Eukaryota; Metazoa; Chordata; Mammalia; Rodentia; Sciuridae.